This 203-nucleotide long non-coding RNA is filed under the name Elaeis guineensis (African oil palm). RNAcentral's name for it is "long non-coding RNA (EGUI_LNC049030)". The record is from RNAcentral. Lineage: Eukaryota; Viridiplantae; Streptophyta; Magnoliopsida; Arecales; Arecaceae.
UGUAGCGUGCAUAUCGAAAAUGGAAUGAAAAGGAUGUUUUGUGUUACCUCGUCCGCGCGUUGCACUAAAUUGCCGUCUGCCGAACUUUUCUCGUCGUUUGGCCUGUCUGAUGUAGACGUCAUUGGGGGGGCGUCCGGUCGUCAAUGCGUUAGCUAGCCUUUCUCGUCAUACAUGGCCGCAAGCCCGAGCUUGGCUGUCUGGGC